GGGGGCGUUCUGGUUUUGACAUCAGAUUAAUUGGGCGGCAAGCGUGCCGAGCUUUUGUAAGAGUGGCUCGUAAAUACUUAACUUACGAAAAAUUAGUUGGCAACAACUAUUCAAGACUUGCUUGCGCAGUUUGCUAAGCUAAACAGCGCUUAACGUUUUGGUCAAGGACCCGAACGACAAGUAUCUCGCUAAGGUUUACGUCCUUUUGGCCUUAGCAUACGAGGUAUCGUUAAAAAGGAAUGCGAGGGCGGACUCCUUUAAAACUCUCAAAGACUUAAAGGAUAAGUUGUUAAUAGUUUGCCAAAGAGCGGUUAACAAUCGAAAAACAUUCUUCGGCUACGCACGUAGAAAACCGUUUGGUGGUUUGAUUGGACAGCGGUUCGACUCCGCUCGCCUCCACA
RNAcentral lists this transfer-messenger RNA (401 nucleotides) under bovine gut metagenome. It matches the Rfam family "transfer-messenger RNA". From Rfam's summary of the family: Bacterial tmRNA, also known as 10Sa RNA or SsrA, is named for its dual tRNA and mRNA-like properties. Its role is to liberate the mRNA from a stalled ribosome. The record is from RNAcentral.